Long non-coding RNA from Hibiscus syriacus, 1231 nucleotides. RefSeq lists it as uncharacterized. The record is from RefSeq and is a predicted model, not a curated record. The transcript has 6 exons. NCBI's taxonomy places the organism in Eukaryota, Viridiplantae, Streptophyta, Magnoliopsida, Malvales, Malvaceae.
UUAAAUUACAAAUAUCUUUAUCAUCCUCCAGAAUCUUCUCGAGCAAUAUUCUCUACAAGCCUUCUUCUUCCUUCACCCUUACACGCACUCUCGCUUCCUCUGCUCCUCGCUUCUCUAUCCGAUCAAUGGCUGACUCUGCUUUCAAGAAUUCAGAGCGAUGACACUUUGGCUACUAUGUUGCACGGGUACGGCAACUCAAGCCGUUUCAAGUACCCAAUACGUUAUCGAUAUGUGUACGAGACGAGUACAAUUUGGGUAUGUACCGCGAACGUCCCAUGUUGAAGGGGCACAAUCAGAAUUGGUUGGGUUGGUCGGAGAUUCUGAGGUUGUAUUGGGAAUGAUGAUUGAUCUUCACGGACAUACCCAAGACAUUUGAUGCAUAUGUGGUUGGCAAAUAAGAUGCAUCUGGAAUUGUUGUUAUUCAGGAGUGGUGGGGUGUUGAUUUUGAGAUAAAAAAUCAUGCCCUGAAGAUCUCUCAACUGGCUUCAGGUUUCAAAGCUCUAAAAUUUCAUUCUCCAUUUGUAUCGAGGAAAGGUUGGUCUGGAUGUUGCUGAAGCUCAACACCUAAUGGACGGUCUUGAUUGGCAAGGUGCUGUAAAGGAUAUCCGUGCUUCAGUUAACUGGCUUAAAGCUAAUGGCUCAAAGAAGUUCUGUACUGGUUCUUUAUCGUCUUUCUGGUUAAAGCCAUAUGCUUACUCAAAACAUUUUUUAUGUUUAUACACUUCCUUUUAUUGUCUGUUCUGCUAACUUAUUUGACUGAGAUAAGCAUAUGAUGCAUAUGUGGUUGGCAAAUAAGAUGCAUCUGGAAUUGUUGUUCUUCAGGAGUGGUGGGGUGUUGAUUUUGAGAUAAAAAAUCAUGCCCUGAAGAUCUCUCAACUGGCUUCAGUUUGUAUCAAGGAAAGGUUGGUCUGGAUGUUGCUGAAGCUCAACACCUAAUGGACGGUCUUGAUUGUUUGUAUCAAGGAAAGGUUGGUCUGGAUGUUGCUGAAGCUCAACACCUAAUGGACGGUCUUGAUUGGCAAGGUGCUGUAAAGGAUAUCUGUGCUUCAGUUAACUGGCUUAAAGCUAAUGGCUCAAAGAAGUUCUGUACUGGUUCUUUAUCGUCUUUCUGGUUAAAGCAAUAUGCUUACUCAAAACAUUUUUUAUGUUUAUACACUUCCUUUUAUUGUCUGUUCUGCUAACUUAUUUGACUGAGAUAAGUUGAAACAGAUAUAUGAAGCUGAUUCAUAUU